AAAACAAGUGAAACUGCGAGCUACUGCUCACUGAUGAUACCCCCGCCGCAAGUGGAUAAUAUUAAUAGUGUAAAAAUAUGCAAGUGUUCGGUAAACAGGAAGUUGUUGAGUGAUGAAUCUGAAAACGCAACACACGGUAUAGCUGACUUAUAUAAAUCCUGAAACCAAAUUUCAGAAAUCCUUGUAUUGUAGUUCCUGAGAAAAAUGUGACGAAAAUUUUCAACUUGGCUAUCAUGUGUAAAAUCAUACAAGUGUUCGGUAAACAGAAAGUUGUCAAGUGAUC
RNAcentral lists this long non-coding RNA (283 nucleotides) under Mytilus galloprovincialis (Mediterranean mussel). The record is from RNAcentral. Lineage: Eukaryota; Metazoa; Mollusca; Bivalvia; Mytilida; Mytilidae.